Long non-coding RNA from Passer domesticus (house sparrow), 3691 nucleotides. RefSeq lists it as uncharacterized. The record is from RefSeq and is a predicted model, not a curated record. The transcript is spliced from 4 exons. NCBI's taxonomy places the organism in Eukaryota, Metazoa, Chordata, Aves, Passeriformes, Passeridae.
AUAAUGCCAAGGUCGUGGGUUUGAUCUUUGCACAGGCCAUUCACUUAAGAGCUGGACUCGAUGGUCCUGUGGUCCUUUCCAACCAAGAAUAGUCUGUGACUGCAUUUGAGUGAAAGUGUGGGCACCCCCAUUAAGUUCACAAGCUUUCCUCACCUGCAACUCCCAUCAUAUCCCCUCCUUGUCAGACCUUCCAUCCCUGUAACUUGUUUAUCUUCCAAAAACACUGGUCGUCAGACACAAUGGCCAUUGUUUUGGGAGGAUCCAACAUGUUUAAUGCUCAUUCUCUGUAGGUUUCUCUAGGAGGGAAACAUUUUCUGCACAACUGGCAAGUACAUGGGGGCAGGCACUGCACCCCCCCUCAGACACUGUAUCCACCACUGAUGGUGAGAGAGGUCAGGCCAGUCAUGGUUGUUUCAAUGGUUCUUUCAGGGACAGGAAAGAGUGAAGAGCACUUUAAAAAAGGAGUUAGAUGUUGUCACACUUCAGUGCAAGGGUAUCUAAAAUUCCUCCUAGAACCUGAUAUUAGGGAUAUGCAUUUAAAGCCUGCUAUUAUUAUUUAGAAUCUGUCAUUAGAACCUUGCUGGUUUCUCAUAUCCCACCAUCUCCUAGCCUUCCUGAGUUACUAUGAAAUCAGACAGCUGGCAGAGCUAGCCUAGAGGCCUGAAAAAGGGACUGUGAAAGGCAGGAGGUGCUGUGAAGAUCCUCUUUGUCCAUGGCACCAAAGAAAAGCCCUGUAGAAUAACUCCACCUGAUUUCAAGAGCUCUUGCUUCUGAACAGCACAAAACAUCACCAGAGUAGGAUAAUUUGCAGCUCUGCAAAUGGAGGAGAUGUUACAGGGCCAUUAUGCCUCAGCUGCGGCUGGGGGAGGCAAGGGUCCUUGCCAGAUCCUGGUGAUUAGAAAGGGGACAAAGCAGAUGUCCUCAGUGUGAAGCCAGUGACAAGUCACCCUCCUCCCCACGUGGUCCUCCCUUGCAGCUGCCAGCCUGCCAGCCUUGACCACAGUGGGAGCUUUGCACUGCCCAGGACACAUGGAGAGAAAAGUGAAACCUCGGGACUGGAAAGGCCAAGACAUGAGCGGAGCACAGCCAGGGUUGGACCUACAGAUCCUCAGAGCACUGACUCUCUCUUCCUCACAAAGUUACCAACUGGCUCCAGUUCCUUCUCAGCUUAUCUUUGGUAAUUGGCCCAGCUGCAACUCCUGAGGGGUGAGAUUACUUUCUGCACUAUCUUUAUUUUCUUAUAUUCUAUCCCCCCACACUGUAGGGCUAGUAAGUUCUUACCUUUUCUAAAAUAAGUGCAGGCAUAAACUCAUUGGCCUGUGACUACAGUGUAAGGGUAAGUUCCUAGACUGGCUUUUCUUUAUGAGCAUGGGUGGUACAUUUAAUGUCACACGAGUUUGUGCUAGUUUAUCAAACACCAGAGUGCCUAAACUGGGCAAGAUUAAUGCCUUUGUGACAGGUAACACAGCUAGCCACCUGAGCUGGUCCUCACAUUUACAGGAUUAUGGCAGCACUAGAGAGUUCACUUCUGUAGAUUCUUUCUAACAAGUCAGGAGAAAAAAUGCUUCUUUACUUGCUGAGAUGUUAGUUGUAAAUUGAAUCAGAUUAUCACUUGUUUGUGCUAAAAAAAAAAAAUUGAAUCAUGUCAGUCAUUAAUGGAUUAGCUGAUAAUGCUGUUAACGUACAGACAGAUAUUGUGAGUGACUUCUGAAGCCUGUAGAAAGAAGCUUUGAAGUCCAGCUUCUGAAGAAUCCUUCAGAAGUCUUUCUAGAGAAGGAAAUUAUGCCAAAGCAUAAGAUGUUAUGUAGCAAAAAAAAGGGGGACAAUGCUGACUUGUGAGAGAUACAAGGCAGAAGGGGUGCUUUUCCAGAGUGGUAUGAGAUGUGUCUGUGAAUCAUGAGUUUGCUGGCUUUAACAGUUUGCUUUCAUUUAGCUUAUUUGUUUUAGGAAAAAAUUUGCUUUAUAUGAGAAGCUUGAGAGCUGGAAAGUUGCCUGAAGACUGGAAGAGGACACAGCAGAACUACAGUAAAAUAUGGUUUUUUUAUGGUUAUACUGUGGUGGUACCAAAGCAGCAUAGGCAAUGCUUGCCCUACAUCUGUCAUUGCAGCCUAAAUUAUGGGUCAGUCCAUCAGACCUGGCAAAUGGAGAAGUUCCUGCCAAGACCUAUAGGAAGACCUCAGAGAAAGGACCAGGGUUUUGCAGGCCAUGACAAUGGCAGCCAAAAUUAAGCUGUGAAGAUGAAGAUUUUCUCAAUUUGAGAACUGGACCCACACUUCCACCCUACAUCUCCAUCAUAUUCUCUCAUCAUAUUUUAGUGAGUUCUAGAAACUGAUGAGUAGAAAGUAAGAGAUUGUAGCCUUCACCUGGGAGCAAAAUAAUCUCACUUUCCCUGGGUAGCUCAGCCCAUAAACUGGUAGCUCUUGUUUAAGGUGACUUUGCUUGAUGUUAUGAAUCCAAACUGCUUGUCGAGAGGUGUCCAAAUUCUUUUGCUCACUGCCCCAGGUGGGUGAACAGGGCGGGUGUCGCUUGUCCGGGCUGGAUGGUGACAGGGAGUGUGACAGACCCCGCUUUGAGCCCUGCUGAAUCCCAGCUACCAGUGACAGUGCAGCAUGGAAACAGAAGAGCAGCACCACGGGUCCUGUGGUAACUUUUUUUUGAUGGCAAAAUUUCCCCUCUUCAGCGUCCCAGGACCCCAAACUGGGGGCAGACAGUAACUUACAUACAGGGACAGGUCUUAAGGGAGGAUACAAUCUUUAACUAAUCAGGAGAAUUGGGAGUAAAAAACAAGGCAGGGAAUACAAUGUAUAAACCAAUAAAGAAUUUCAAGGGAGGAGCAGAGUGUCAGUGAACUAAUAGAGUUUGGAGAAAUACAAAACUGACAAGGAAGUUUCUCGAGGGAAGGCAGGUUUGAGGAGAAACUGGCAUUUAAUGAAAGGAGGAGUGAGGAAAGUUCUGGGGAAAAGGCAGGAACAAAAAGUAGAGCAUAAGAAAAUUACAAAAUUACAAAUGAAACAGUAAGCAUAACUGUUUCAUUUGUAAUAAAACAAAUAACACACUACUUACAGGUGGGUACCUUUAAUGUGUACCCUUCCACAUAGCACUGUCAACACACCAACGUCUCUCAUUUCCCAUGGAGAAAUUCUCUGCUCUUGGGGAUGCUACACUAAAGAGAUGUCUCAUUGGUUGCUGUCACAUGGAUCAUCUCCAUUCCUCACUACAAUUAUUCACACCAGACCUUGCAAGUGCUCCACCUACAACUGCAUCACUGUAAAGUUUUGGAUGAGAAAUGUGUAUGAGAGUAAUGCCUAAAAUAUUUAGAUCUCAAGCAAGUAAGGCAGUUCUAGCUGACAGGCUCUUUACUGGGCAACCAAGGUAACAUAGUCCUGGAUUCUACCAUCCAGUAUUAAAGAUACUUCAAGGAAAUUAAAUUGAAAUCCCACCAAAAUUUCUUCUUAUAUCAAUGUAUUUUAGUUUAUUUUAACAUUGUAUUUAUUCUCAUUGCUAUAUAUACCUUUCAUUUAUGCAUAUUGGGGGUGGGAAUGGGGAGAGUAUUGUUUAUGUGUUGUAUGUUCUCUGGCCAGAGAAAGCAAGAGAUGUGACGAUGCAAACAUACAAAGCAUGUAUUACCUCCACAUCAUCUACAUUUCUCUGAGAUUCACUGAAGUUUAGAAAUAAAGAUCCUCUGAACCAC